RNAcentral lists this unclassified non-coding RNA (1917 nucleotides) under Haliotis rubra (blacklip abalone). Its description in RNAcentral is "forkhead box protein N4-like, transcript variant X1". The record is from RNAcentral. Lineage: Eukaryota; Metazoa; Mollusca; Gastropoda; Lepetellida; Haliotidae.
AACACGCACGGGCACCUGCUCGAUCUGAGAAAAACGGGACCUGUUAUGGCAUGUCGCCUUGACAACAGCCAACCAGUGAUGCUUAAUUCAAACCUCGUGACAAACGACAUCCAAUCAGCGCGCGGUAUUUUGAACGUAGUACGUUUCUUUGUCCCUCAGAUUGACCAACAGAAUUUUACUACUUUACUACAACUGGAAACUUUACUACUGCGUUUCUUGUACUUGGCAAAUGGGCAUCUACUGUGAUUACCUGAACCCAGCAUUGACGUAACAGGACUUGAUAUACUACAAUACUGAAAUUCGCCGUUUGUGAGACCUUUCAUUCAACUUGUAUGGAAAAUUCUUAUGUGUGGAAAACAAGUAAGAGAGGAUCGGAUUUAUCAAAACACCACAGCCCUCCAGUCCAGCCUCAUCUCUCUUACAUGCUUCUCUGUGAAUUACUGAAAAUGGAUAUAUAUAAUCACAAUGACCCUGACCAUUUGUCAGUAAUGGACAUGAUGGAUGAUAGAAAUGAUCUGGAUAGUUUGUUUCUGAAUUCCGACAGGCAGGAUUGUGGCUUGGAUCCAAAGUUAGACACGGUGUCAGUACUUCCUGAUCUCGAUGCAAUGGACACUGGUGUUUCAGCUUCGGGCGCAUUCGGGGAAUUUGACUGGAUUCAAGGCCUCCAAAGUGCGGCUCUUGCACAGCUGCAUCAGUUAUCAGAAACUGAAAACACCGAUCCGAAUCUUCUUGUAAAUCCACAAACUGCCAUUCCAGUGCACCUGCAGCAACCAGCCCAUACGCAAACUGUACGCGAUGCUAUGUUGACUGAAAAUCUGAACAAUGUGAGUGUGAUCGUGACGAGUACUCCAACAACAACCCUAUCCCUUGAUUCCAUAGGAUCACAGAAUACUGUGUUUACUACUCAAGGUGGUUUUGCAGUUUCAAAUCAAAACAAAAAUGUACUGUCUCCGUCAGAAAGCUCGCCUGUAUUGGUUGGCCAUCUACAGAAUGGAAUCCGUCCACGGUCACACAUAACAGUUAACUUGCCACCCGCUCCAGGACAAAGCGUCAGUAUAUCUACCAGUGCACAUACUAAGAAAGACACGGACAAUAGUAAACCGACAGAGAAAGUUUUCCCCAAACCUGUCUAUUCCUACAGUUGUCUCAUUGCCCUGGCUUUGAAAAACAGUCAGAAUGGCAGUUUACCUGUCAGUGAAAUCUACAACUUCAUGACGGAAAAUUUUCCAUAUUUCAAGACUGCUCCUGAUGGUUGGAAGAAUUCUGUACGGCACAAUCUAUCUCUGAACAAGUGUUUUGAGAAAGUGGACAACCCUAAACUGAGCAGUAAUGCCAAGAAGGGAUGCCUGUGGGCUCUCAAUCCAGCCAAGAAAGACAAGAUGGAGGAAGAAAUAGCCAAAGGGAGCAAGAAGGACCCUGUCGCUUUACACAGCAGCAUGGCAUACCCCCGGAGAGGCUUGAGAAGAUUGAGCGAGGUGAAGCUGGGCUACACAUGGAGCCUACCACACCAACGGCUCGACCACCAUCUCCAUGCACCCCGUCAGACACCACUGCCAACUCACACACACCAGCCAAAACUGAUGAUCUCUUCGCAUCAGAACUUCGUGAUCUCAAUGUCCUUGACUCCAACUUCACCCUUGAUCCCUCUCUGUCAGAUCUUGCCAUGCAGCAUGGCCUGUGGGAUGAUGAUCUUGCUAAUGACCUCAACAUUGACAUGAGCCCCCAUGUUGCUAUGGCAGCUGUGGGAUCACCUGUGGCAUCAUCAGGCUCCUCCAGCAGUUCAGUGUUUGCUGGUCUGCACGGGGCCUCCUACCAUGGGACAUGUGUGUACACCUCUAGUCCAGUUGCUGGGCUGCGGUCACCAUCGCCAGGAACACUGACCGCAACGCUGCUCAGUCUAACCACUCCAAAUCGCAC